CAGAGUUGCAAAACUCCCAAACCCACUGUGAACAUACCUGUCCUUGUUCCUUCGGCAGGCGGCCCCCGGGGGGGCUUCGCCGUCGACCGGCGCCUGCCGAGGGACAACCAAAACUCUGCUGCUUCAGUGUUACCUCUGAGCAACUAAAACAAUAAGUUA
This 159-nucleotide unclassified non-coding RNA is filed under the name uncultured Phaeoacremonium. Its description in RNAcentral is "sequence contains ITS1". Lineage: Eukaryota; Fungi; Ascomycota; Sordariomycetes. The record is from RNAcentral.